RNAcentral lists this ribosomal RNA (468 nucleotides) under uncultured bacterium. RNAcentral describes it as "partial 16S ribosomal RNA". It matches the Rfam family "Bacterial small subunit ribosomal RNA", at positions 28 to 507 of the family's 1533-position model. The record is from RNAcentral.
GACGAACGCUGGCGGCGUGCUUAACACAUGCAAGUCGAACGGAAAGGCCCUGCUUUUGUGGGGUGCUCGAGUGGCGAACGGGUGAGUAACACGUGAGUAACCUGCCCUUGACUUUGGGAUAACUUCAGGAAACUGGGGCUAAUACCGGAUAGGAGCUCCUGCUGCAUGGUGGGGGUUGGAAAGUUUCGGCGGUUGGGGAUGGACUCGCGGCUUAUCAGCUUGUUGGUGGGGUAGUGGCUUACCAAGGCUUUGACGGGUAGCCGGCCUAAGAGGGUGACCGGCCACAUUGGGACUGAGAUACGGCCCAGACUCCUACGGGAGGCAGCAGUGGGGAAUAUUGCACAAUGGGCGGAAGCCUGAUGCAGCGACGCCGCGUGCGGGAUGACGGCCUUCGGGUUGUAAACCGCUUUCGCAUGUGACGAAGCGUGAGUGACGGUAAUGGGUAAAGAAGCACCGGCUAACUACGUG